AUGAAUAAGCAUAUGACUUACAUUACCAAAGGUGUAUAUGGACAUAUGAACUAGCUUACCAGCAGUGAUUUUAAUCACCAUGCUGGAUCUUAAAAUGAUCUGUAUUAAAUUCAAUAUAUCUUUCCCAGGUGUUUCCAGUAAAAAUAUCCUACCUGUUCGGCAACCAGAUCACCUAUAUAACAAAAUAUAAAAAUGUUGAAGGUGAACGAUAUGAGUAAUGAUAUAUGCUUCCAAUAAAAACAUCCUACCUGUUCGGCAACCAAUUCGCCUAUAUAACAAAAUAUGAAAAUAUUGAAGGUAAUCGAUGCGAUUAUUAUUACAGUUUUUUAUUGCAUGCGUACCACAAUUAGAUAAUAUCCGAGAAGACACAUAUUCAUUGUACAGCCUAAAAAUUCUACAAAAGAUAUUUGUUGAAGCGCUCUUUCUGUAAGUGCCAAAAAUCUGAAAUGUGAC
Apis florea (little honeybee) is the source of this 453-nucleotide long non-coding RNA. NCBI's taxonomy places the organism in Eukaryota, Metazoa, Arthropoda, Insecta, Hymenoptera, Apidae. The record is from RefSeq and is a predicted model, not a curated record.